UGUGGAGUGUUUUCAUUUUUUUUAUUGAAACAUUAUUAACAAAACACUGCAAUUAAAUAAAAGGAUUCAAACAAAUCCGACAGUGAAAUUAAAGACAUAGAGUUGAUAACAAAGCACAAGCUGAAUUUUUUUGUUGCAAAUGUUUGCGGUGUCUAAAGCGAAUUCAUUAAAUUAUAACCAUCACUCAUUCAGUGCACUUAAUAACUGAGUUGUUAAAGCAAGCAGAGCUAAGCUGAAAUAAAAUUAUUUUUACACCCAAUAAUGACCACUUACGAUUAUAAAGAAAAUAUGGACAUUGCUGUCAAAACUGUGCACCUAAAACUAAUUACAACCAAAAAGUCAAAACAUCCUGUGCAUGCAUUCAUUUGGGGGGGGGGGGGCUGUGUUUCUUUUUGUGGUACACUUCAUCCAGUUACACUAAGGUGGAAACUUUGUAAAGGACAAUGAUAGCAGAAUUUGAGCUAGUGACCACCUUACAACUUAUAGUUGUCUUAUUGGAAUGGGUGGCAGAUAAAGUACAGUAAAUGUAAAUUAAUGCGCUUCAAAAGUAAAAUCUCCAAACUAUCUAGGGAAUACCAGAGACAGUGGCACAAACCCCUUUGCUAAAUUUCACAGAUACGUAUUAGGUUUUUAUGUCAGUGUUAAAGCUGGUAGAAUGUCACGUUACACUUGCAAAUGAGGUAUAUUUUCAUUAGCCUCUCGUUAGCCUUCAGAACAUGAACACAAUUCUGCUAAAACUGCCUCAGUUACUGUGGUUCUUGAACAUUUUGGUUGUGAAGUAUUGGUAAUAGGUGUUAAGGUGAGGAAAUACUAUGAGGUUGGUUUUACAGUUAGGUCCAUUGACAACAAUAUCCCAAGGCUGCCUUGCAAUGUACCAUAGAAUGAUUUCCAUUAUGAGCAAAUGCAACACAUGAUAAAGUAAUAACUGAAGCCAGUUUGCAUGGUAUAUACACCUUAUUGAAUUCACCUUUUUUUGUUUUUUAUAUAUAUUUCCACUCUUAUUGUUAUUUUUUUGUUUUUUUUGUGAUCUUUUUUUGGUUUGUUUUAUUUGUCAUCAACCUAAAAUGCAAAUCUGAGUUAAUUUACACACCUCUGCAUAAGAGAGCAAAUGAGAAAAUCCCUUACAUCCUUUCUUUUAAUGAAAGCAUACGAAAGACCCUACAAUUCACUGUGACAUCCUGUGCGUCGCAUCUUUCUCCAUUUGGUUGUUGGUGUGGGGGGGUUGCUGUGUGGUUUCGCAGGAUCGUUGAUAUCAAUGGCUCUGUCCGGGUUUUGGGGAGAAAUGGGGAGGUUGUCAAACAUCCUCACCCACACACCUCCCUCUCCUCUUGGCAACAGUCCAAGAUCCUGGUUAUGGUAGAGGGCUGGUAGCAUGCUUGUUUAAUAACAGGAAAUAGCAUAGUUCAGUAGUUCAGAAUUGACAGAACUUUUUGAAGAAUUCCUGUCUUGCAGCUUUUCUCCUCAAGGGCUGAUGUAGGAUAAAGAGAGAAAGAGGGAUUAAGACACAC
Esox lucius (northern pike) is the source of this 1508-nucleotide long non-coding RNA. Lineage: Eukaryota; Metazoa; Chordata; Actinopteri; Esociformes; Esocidae. The record is from Ensembl.